GCUGCUGGAGUGCAAGGGCAGGAUCGUAGCUCACUGCAGCCUCGAACACUUGGGUUCAGGUAGAUCCUCUUCGCUCAGCCUCUCAAAGCUCAGGGUACUUUUCUAUGUAUUUUUAAUGUCCAUAAUGCAAAGUGCAACACUGUAACUGCUAAGCAUAGCCUGCCCCCCUCCCGAAUGCUUGAAUUUUGAAAACUAUUGACCCUAUUUCUCCCUUCGGCUACAUCCGCCCCCCAACUCCCUGCUCCGCUUAGUGUAGUAAUCAUUACACUAUCGAGGAGAUAGUGUAAUUCCUUGAAAGACUUGUCUAUGUCUGAUAUUUCCUCCUAUUCUUUCUGGAUCCACUCCAGCCUGGCUUUUGGCUCCCACAGUACCAGAAAUGCCCUGAUUUAAGGCCACCAGUGACAUCCACAGCACCGAAUCCAAUAGCCAUCUCUCAGUCUGACUGAACACUGCCUGGAAUAUAGGAUAUGAUCAGGAGAAUCUGCUCAAGGAAGACAUGGCUUACCUCUUCGGUUCAGGACAAAAACACAAGGGGCCUGUGAAAUACAGACACAGGGAGAAGGCGGCUGUCUGCAAGCCAGGAAGAGAGCCCUCACCGAGAACCACAUCAGCUGGCCCUGACAUUGGACUUCUCAGCCCCCAGAACUGUAAGAAAUAAAUCUCUGUGGAGGUCUGUGGUGUUGUGUUAAGCAGCUCAAGCUGACUGAGAUAUGUCCUCAUUCUGCAGUGCCUCUGUUUCCCCUAGGUAGCAGUAAAAUACCAAUUUCAAUUUUGUUUUUUAAAAAAUUGUUUCUGGGCCAGGCACGGCAGCUCACACUUGUAAUCCCAGCACUU
This is a long non-coding RNA of Cercocebus atys (sooty mangabey), 834 nucleotides long. RefSeq lists it as uncharacterized. Lineage: Eukaryota; Metazoa; Chordata; Mammalia; Primates; Cercopithecidae. The transcript has 3 exons. The record is from RefSeq and is a predicted model, not a curated record.